AAAAGAGGGCAUAUGACAAUGAGAGAGUACUAUGCUCACCAGAUCCAAACAAGAUCAACUGAGGGUAUGACUAUGAUUAAGUCAGGAAGAUUGUUUUAUCAGUAUAUUGUUGAUGCUUACACGGCCACAAAGCAAGAUAUAUUACAGUUGAUCAGACAUAACCAGAAAACUGAGGUCUGAGUUAUAUACAAACAUUUGCUAUGUAUUAGACCGUGGAGAUACAAAUGCUAGCCACAUGGGAAAAAGUCAUAUUGCCUUCUUCGUUCACUGCAGGACCUCAAUAUAUGUCUGAGAAAUAUCAAGAUGCCAUGGCUAUCUGUCAUUGGUAUGGUAAUCCCAAGCUUCUCAUCACCUUCACAGCCAACACAAAUUGCGUUCAACUGAAAGAACACUUAAAUGUCUAUGGAGGUGAUUCACCCAACAACAGGCCUGAUCUUGAGUGCAGAGUUUUUAAGCUUAAGUUAGAAGAGAUGAUGUCAGACUUUAAAAAGGUGUGUUCUUCCCAAAAUGGCUGCAGGUUUUAAAAGAGAAGCAACUGCUGUGGUUAUUGAUCAAUACAUAUCAGCUGCAUUCCUAGAAAAAGAAACAGACAGAGAGGGAUUGUAUUUGGUUGAGCACCACAUGAUUCACGGGCCUUGUGGAACAAACAAACUCUGUCACCACGUAUGGAAAAGAGAGAAUGCACAAAUAAGUACCCCAAGCCUUACUCAAAAACAACAAAGAUCGACAAAUCUGGUUUUGUUGUUUACAAGAGGUCGGUUGAUACCAGAGACUGUUCUGAAAGGUGAUAUUGAGUUGGAUAAUCGUUAUGUGGUGCCACAUAACCUCACCAACCUCAAAAAAUAUCAGGCACACAUUAAUAUCGAGUGGUGCUGCAAAACAAGUGCCAUCAAAUAUCUCUUCAAAUAUAUAACCAAAGGAUCACUCACGAACAAACGAAUCGCGACUUUGAUCACUCGUGUGUCAAACGUAAAGAGAACGAAGAGAAAGAAUCUAAAGCGAUCAACACAAGCAAGUUUUAGAGUUCCCCGUUAAUCUCUGGGUACAUCUCCUUCAGGACGGGACCUGUUUCAGAGAGCUCGAUGAUGAGAAGAGGAAGAAGGUUGUUACAUAACAACCUUUACUGCAAACUUUAUAUCAGUUGCAAUUGGGCCGAAGCCCAUACUCGAAGAUUGCUGUGAUGGGUCACACACCACAAUCCUCAC
Molecule: long non-coding RNA, 1205 nt
Organism: Raphanus sativus (radish)
Lineage: Eukaryota; Viridiplantae; Streptophyta; Magnoliopsida; Brassicales; Brassicaceae
Exons: 5
Source: RefSeq, a predicted model, not a curated record